RNAcentral lists this ribosomal RNA (962 nucleotides) under uncultured Gammaproteobacteria bacterium. RNAcentral describes it as "bacterial SSU rRNA". It matches the Rfam family "Bacterial small subunit ribosomal RNA", at positions 9 to 968 of the family's 1533-position model. The record is from RNAcentral. Lineage: Bacteria; Pseudomonadati; Pseudomonadota; Gammaproteobacteria.
GAGUUUGAUCAUGGCUCAGAUUGAACGCUGGCGGUAUGCUUAACACAUGCAAGUCGAACGGUAACAGGCCUUCGGGCGCUGACGAGUGGCGGACGGGUGAGUAACGCGUAGGAAUCUGCCUCAUAGUGGGGGACAACGUGGGGAAACUCACGCUAAUACCGCAUACGCCCUACGGGGGAAAGGAGGGGAUCUUCGGACCUUUCGCUAUGAGAUGAGCCUGCGUUAGAUUAGCUAGUUGGUAGGGUAAAGGCCUACCAAGGCGACGAUCUAUAGCUGGUCUGAGAGGACGAUCAGCCACACUGGGACUGAGACACGGCCCAGACUCCUACGGGAGGCAGCAGUGGGGAAUAUUGGACAAUGGGCGAAAGCCUGAUCCAGCAAUACCGCGUGUGUGAAGAAGGCCUUAGGGUUGUAAAGCACUUUCAAUUGGGAGGAAAACCUGCCGGUCAAUACCCGGUAGCUUGACAUUACCUUUAGAAGAAGCACCGGCUAACUCCGUGCCAGCAGCCGCGGUAAUACGGAGGGUGCGAGCGUUAAUCGGAAUUACUGGGCGUAAAGCGUGCGUAGGCGGUUCGUUAAGUCAGAUGUGAAAGCCCUGGGCUCAACCUGGGAACUGCAUUUGAAACUGGCGGACUAGAGUUUAGUAGAGGGGAGUGGAAUUUCAGGUGUAGCGGUGAAAUGCGUAGAUAUCUGAAGGAACACCAGUGGCGAAGGCGACUCCCUGGACUAGAACUGACGCUGAGGUACGAAAGCGUGGGUAGCAAACAGGAUUAGAUACCCUGGUAGUCCACGCCGUAAACGAUGUCGACUAGCCGUUGGCCCUAUUUACAGGGUUAGUGGCGCAGCUAACGCAUUAAGUCGACCGCCUGGGGAGUACGGCCGCAAGGUUAAAACUCAAAUGAAUUGACGGGGGCCCGCACAAGCGGUGGAGCAUGUGGUUUAAUUCGAUGCAACGCGAAGAA